RNAcentral lists this long non-coding RNA (265 nucleotides) under Mytilus galloprovincialis (Mediterranean mussel). Lineage: Eukaryota; Metazoa; Mollusca; Bivalvia; Mytilida; Mytilidae. The record is from RNAcentral.
GUGCAUGUGCUCAGGACGACGUCUCUCUCUGCAAAGGAUUAUAAUAAACUAUCUGUUUGACUAUAUCAGCUUGGUGACGUCACAAUCGCUGCAUCCGGUACUACCUAAAAUGAAAAAGGGGUUUUCCCCUUUUCGAAAAAAAUAAAAUGUGCACGUACAUUUCAAACCAUGCAGGUCAGGUUCGAUUUACUUUAAAUACAAAAUUGAAUACAAUGCACACACAAUAAGAUUAAUAAGUAAAUAAGACACACAUCCUGGGAAACCC